This is a long non-coding RNA of Camelus dromedarius (Arabian camel), 1307 nucleotides long. RefSeq lists it as uncharacterized. The record is from RefSeq and is a predicted model, not a curated record. NCBI's taxonomy places the organism in Eukaryota, Metazoa, Chordata, Mammalia, Artiodactyla, Camelidae. The transcript has 6 exons.
CCAGGGCCGCAGUCGCUUCGACUCAGCCUGCGAGUCUCAGGGGGAAAAGGAGCUCCAGAGGUGCGCCCCCAGUCGCAGCGCUCUUCACCUCGCACCGUAAUUGCGGGAGGAGAGAAAAUAGGAGUGAGGAAAGGUGCACUUUCCGUCUCACCUCAGACCUCCGCUAAGGAAACCGUGUAGUCCUGACCAGUGGGCUCAAGACCCUACUGGAAACUGGUUCUGAUUGCAACUGUCUCAGCUUAUAAGGAAACAAGAACAAGUAACGAGCACACUUUUAAACUGCGCUGAGGAUCCAAAAAUGAAUAAAACACGGUCCCUGCCCUCACAAGACUCCAAGUAAGGUGCGUCACACUCAUGAGCAGCUACGCACAGACUGCGGAAAAGGCUAGAUCAAUAAGACCCCUGCAUCUAUAACUUAGGACAUCUAGACGGGGAACAUCAUCAGAGAGAAAGCAAAUGAUGACGAAAAUCAAUAUGCUUACUUACUCUGUGCUCCCUUAUCCUUCAUUUUCCACUUGUCUUCACCAAAACCUCACCACUGGAGCUAAAUGAAUCACCGCAAUAAGCUUUUUUUUGGUAAAACUGGCUUUCAAAUCUGCUAAUUGGUGAAGAGAUCAGCACCCCUCUCAAGUUACAGAGGCAGAACUUCAGCUGGCCCUUAUUAAAUGAAAGAUCUUCAGUGAAGGUUGAAAGCCCUUCAGAUCAAUCGCAUCACUUUGAGCUCCUCUGAUCUCCCUAGUUCAAUCAUCUGUGCUCACGGCUCACAGGUGUGCAGACAGCUACGUCCAGGACUAACCCAGGACAAAAAUAGUUACCACCCAGUUGAAAUAUCCUUUCUACGGAAGGACCAGACCCAGUGAUCCUACAAGGGGGAGUGUGAGGAUCUGGCUGCUCAGGCCUACAAGGCAAGUUGUGCAGGAUGAAUCUGGAAACCUUGACACACAAGAAAGCAGGGACACCAAAGACUCUGAAAGCACGCUGAAGACUUCCAGCAGCCAAAAACGGGACAAUUUGAGUUUUGAUAAUAAUGGCAAUGGUUAAAACAUCAAAAACAUAAAAAAUUCAUGAAUUCAUAGACAGACUGAAGGAAAUCCACAAAAACCUCAUUGGUUCUUGGAGAAUACGGGGAAACAAACUCAUUAUUCUAAAAAAUGAUAAAUGGAACAUUUAUUCUGCCUUUUCAGUAUAAACUAGACCUCAGUGUAACCAUGUAGUUGAUGAAGGAAAGUUUCUCCUUAUAGAAGUAUUUAUUCUAUCUAAUAAUAAAUAGAAUUCUUGACUGAUAAAUAAAUUAUAGAAUUAUAGUA